AAACUAGCCCUGCAAGAAAUAUUAAAGGUGAUUCUUUGAGCAGAGAGAGAGCCCAAAAGUAAGAAAAACCAGAAAAGGAAGAGACAAUCUGCAGGAACAGCAACUUAACAGAGACAAAAGAGAAGAGGGGAGUACACAGUCAAGCAUAGGAGCAUAAUCUUUCCUCUGUGCUGGAAAAGAUAGAUUUCCAUGAUGUCACUUUUCACUUAAUAAUAAGGAUGAAAUAAACAUAUUUCCAUAAAAAUGUGAAGAGAGUUUGUUUCUACUAGACUCUUGCUGAAGGAACUUUCAAGAUUGUACUUCAGGAAAAAGAGAAAUCUGAAAGAACUGAGAGCAAGAAGGAAUGGUAAACAAAAAACCUGAACUCUCAAAGGCAGCAGAGAAAUAAUAUAAUAGCUGGAAAGAGAUAGAAUGAUCAACCUGCUUGAUACUCCUGUUUUUGUGAAAAUGGUAAAGCACAGUCUGUAAAGUAUUUUGAUAGUUACCCGAUCCAUAUGGCAUCUGGAAACAUAGGCAGAAAAGUAUCGUGGAAAUGAAGUGACUUGUCCAAAGUCUCUUUUAUGAACUGAACCUUGAACUCACUCUCCACGUUCCCAAACCAGUGUUCUUUCCAGUCCUUCAUAGCGGUCACCUUUAUAGGUGAUGAUUUCCAGAUGGUGCUACUGCUAAUGGCGACAUAUAAAUGCAGAUAACUGAAAAAUUUGUAACCAAAAAUUUUUAAAGAAAUGAGGUCUUUUGAUGUACAAGAUACUGUGCUCCAUUCUAGGAAUACAUCCCUGAAUAUGAUACUAUCUCUUACAUCUAGGAGUUCACAUUCUACUGGGAGAGACAUAAAAGUAAAUAGCCAAUUACAAUUCAGAAAGAUAGCAGCAAUGUUAGGGUAUCAUUACCCAUGAGAGCAAGUAGGUAUAUAUAAAUAGUUUUAGGCCCAGUGUUACAAAAUCAUGAGAAACAGCCUUCAUGUGAGGGGAAUUAUGAUCCUCAGGGAAAGGCAGGUUUUGAUUAAAGAGAUUAAGAAAACAGAAGUUUUUCUGAUAAUAAAUUAUGAAUUCCAGUGGGCCCAGUGAAAGAGUUUCAAGAUUUGAGGAAAAACAGAAGAAAGGGAGAGAUGGUGCAGCCUUUUUUGUAUAGAGAAGGAGCGAUGAGGGUGACUUGAGAGUCUGUGGGUUUUUGUGUAGCAAGAUAAAGAGGAUCAAGGGGUACAAAGAGAUUAGUUCCAGUGGUGAGCAUACUGUGAUCGUUACGCUUCUGCGGAAGGACUCCCUGCAUCUCUGAGGAGAAGGCAGUUUCUUUAAAGCGCAUUAAAUAUCAGAAAAACAAGAAUAUUUCAUGAAAAUUUAAAAAUUAAAAUAUUCUUUCCUUUAGGAUUCUCUCAUCAGUAUGACCCCUCUUCCUAUGGUGUAUUAUCUAAUUUUUCUGCAUUUGGAGGCACCUUGUUGCUCUGGGUU
Molecule: long non-coding RNA, 1448 nt
Organism: Ailuropoda melanoleuca (giant panda)
Lineage: Eukaryota; Metazoa; Chordata; Mammalia; Carnivora; Ursidae
Exons: 7
Source: RefSeq, a predicted model, not a curated record